This 3187-nucleotide long non-coding RNA is filed under the name Nothobranchius furzeri (turquoise killifish). RNAcentral describes it as "lncRNA (ENSNFUG00015020075.1)". Lineage: Eukaryota; Metazoa; Chordata; Actinopteri; Cyprinodontiformes; Nothobranchiidae. The record is from RNAcentral.
CUCUGUGCCACAGCGCCAUCUGGCGUUUAAAACCAUAAUCACAAACAACUUUUUAUCUGUUUGAGUGUUUUUUGUUCUUCGGUGGCAGGAUGCAGCCAGAGCCUUCAGACAAAAGCCAGUUGUUCAACUCUCUGAAGUCUUAUCUCAACGACAAGACCAGAAGACAGCCCUACAUUGGCCUGCGCAGCAUCUUCGAGUGUGUGAAUGUGGGCUCGGACAACAGAGAAACCUUGUACUUGUGUGAGGUCUGCGUUCGCCGGGUCACCAAGGCCGAUAUCCGGAACCACAUACAGGGAAGUCGCCACAUCUUCAGCUACAUCAAAACCUGUCAUCCCCAUUUGGCGUAUAAGUGGCAGAAGGACGCGGAUCUUUCGAUGCUGGCUAGGCCGCUGAUAGAGUUGGCCACGGUUGUGGAGAGAAAAGAGGGAACCGGAGAAGUCCAGUUGUUUGAAGUUCCUGAUGCUGUUUACCAGAAGAUGGCUACAGAGAGUGAACAUUACGCUGUAGCUCUGAUAAACGUCUUACGAGACAGAGGGGCGAAUCAGGGAGUCUUCUCAGAAAUGCUCUCCUUACAUUAUCCCGUCGAGUCACAGAGGGUCGUUCUGCUGACACAAACCCAACCAGAAGACACGAAACCGCACAAGGUGUCGGCACAAAACGAAGGUCUACGACGUCCUCCAGCACCUCAUACGAAGAACACUCAGACGUCAUCCAAGAACAGCAGGAGCUCUGUGGAGGACUUCUCAGGGGGCACACCUCCGAUUGGUCUUUCUCGUGUCGUUGGGUUUAAAAGUGAAUGUGGGAGAUUGCAGUGUUUCCUGUGUCACUGCUGCCGCGUCAGAUCCAGCACGCGUGACAUCACCGAUCACCUGACCAGCUCCUCUCACCUGUUCAACUACCUGAUGGAAACGCACCCCAGCUUACUGGAGGGGAUGAGUGAGAAUUCUGAAGCCAACUUCCAUCUUCUCCCAUCUCUGGCUCACAAAGUGGAACAACUGGAGGGCGGAGGACAGAUGGAGAUAGUAAAUGUCCCAGAAUCCUUCUGUAAGCAACUCUCUGGCAAAAGUUACCACUGGUGUUUGACGAUGCAGUCGAGUGGGUGGGUUGACCUCAACGUCCCAGUCAAAAAAGAAGCUGUCAAAGGUGUGGCCAAGCCUGCAGAGUCGAGGAUAAACACCAUUGCCGUGGUGCGACGAGCAAAGAAGAAGAAGAGGAGGAGGAAGGGAGAGAUUAAUACAGUGUUCAGCAUACGCAUGCCUGUCCAUAAAGGCGCCGUCUUGGUGGAGAGGACGUCUUUCAACCAGGGAGACCUCCAUGGGCUGCCUGCUUCAUCCUUAUCUCACCCGGGUCCUGUUUCACGGGCCGACUGCGAGACUUUAGAGAUCAACCAAGAGGAAAUUCCUUCAGAGGUGGACGGUUCACCGUUGAAGCAGCAGGUAGAGGAGGAUUAUGGUGGAUUUGCAGCAGAAGAACAAAUCAAAGUCACCAUUUCUCAAGAUACAAGUGAAAACUUCCCCCCGUUUGUGGAGAGCGAGUAUGAUGGACGUGGUUCUGAGGAAAGAUCCGGACAUAACGGGUACGGAGACUGGAUUAAUGAAGGAGCUUGGAGCGAGAGACCGUUGCCUCCUGAGCACCACGGUAACGGCUGGUCUGACUCUCACUACGGACGGGAGUGGGGGGAUCCUGGUCUGCAGUCCGGACUGAAACAACCGAGACACGAGGCGGGAAACGGGAACACACACUCCGGUUCAUUUGAGCGUUACGGACGGCAGCAGCAUCAGACGGCGUGGGCUGGCUGCGGGCCUCGUCCGGGCAGCCCGCGCAGGAAUCCCGACUUGUCCGGUGAAGUAGAAUCGUUUAUAGAAACCGCUCGGACAAAUGUGCAGACUUACUCGGGGGGUGCUCCGUCUCAGAGCGGCAGCAUCUCCGAGCCCAGUUUCAUCAGCUGGAUCCCGUUAGAUUACAGCCGGUACCAGACCGCUCCGCAGGACUACACCACUCCGUAUGCAGACCAUCACAUCAGCCAGAUAAACCAGGUGUGCACGUUUUACUGCAACCACCACCAGACUGGCUACGACACAACCUCCAUCCACCACCCAGCUGGCCCGGUGAGCGGCAGCGGUUAUGGAGAAGCCGCCGGCUGGAGUUCGAUGCAUCCGAAUGCUUUCAUUCAGCCCGGGGUUUACGGCCCCGGUUCCGAUGUUUACUUCAGAGCUGGAAUUCCCUACUGAAUGGAAGCACUUCCUGAAUCUCCCUGGGAUCUGAUCACAUUUUGGCCUUCAGGGAUGUUUAAAACAAGUUUACCUCAUUUCUCUAUUACGAAUCUUCUACUGAAGGAAGUUUGACGUUAUUAUUUGACUAAACAUAUUUAGAUUAAAAUAGAGAAACUUGAUUUGUGUUCAUCUUGGAUUAAAGUUUGAACAGUUAAACUGAAGGCCAGAUUGUGAAAGAUGCAUUAUGCCUUUUGCAGGUGGAUGUUGCAUUAUUUUCUUUUAAAACUGACCGUCAUUUAAUAGAAACCCGAACAAAAGUCUUGUUUUGAUCCUACCAGAGUUUAGGAUGUUUGCUCAGAAAACAUGUUUUAUGUUUGAAUGUUUCAGGUCGGAGUGUUCCAGUUGGAAAAAACAACAGCUGAAUGUGUUCACGCUCACGUUUUACACGGAUAAUUGUGUUCGUGUUAACUUCAAAGAACAAUUAGCUGUUCAGUUUAUUCAAUUCUGUUAUGUUGCCACUAUAUGUGUUUAUUUUAGUAUUAUCUAUCAGCAGUGUUAACGUCAGUGUUGGGAUGUUCGUGUGUUUAGAAGUUAUUUGUUUUCUGUGCACCUUAAUUUUUUCCUUAUCUUUACAAUCUGAUCAUUAUUGCAGUGAUUGUUUUUUUUUUGUAUUGUGUAAUGUUUUGGUUUAGUUGACCCGUUUUACUCCAAAUGGAAGAAGAAAAUCUUUUUUUGUGGCUGCUCCUGAUAAAAGAUUCAAAAUGAGGCGAUGCUGCAUAACGGAAUGUGACGAUCAAUAAAAAUGCAAACAUUUCCAAAUCCUGCUUUAUUUCUGUUUUGCAUACGAUUGCUGGUUUUUAGAUGGUAAACAAAUAUAUUGGGAAAUGAAUGUUGCCGUGGGAACAAAAAACAAAAUAACACCAACAAAGUCAUUAUGUACAAUUAUAUUGGAGAUUAAAUUAUAUAUAUAUAUA